ACAAACACAAUUUUAUUUUAACACACACACGUAUCGUCACAUACACUUGGGUGCACAUAAGUUACAAAUUAACUUAGGUGUUGGUGCUAUGGGAUAUGUGGAGGCCUAACC
This 111-nucleotide small RNA is filed under the name Pseudoalteromonas lipolytica. RNAcentral describes it as "t44 RNA". It matches the Rfam family "t44 RNA". From Rfam's summary of the family: This family consists of a number of bacterial RNA genes of between 135 and 170 bases in length. The t44 gene is found between the map and rpsB genes in all species in the full alignment apart from Shigella flexneri. The function of this RNA is unknown. Lineage: Bacteria; Pseudomonadati; Pseudomonadota; Gammaproteobacteria; Alteromonadales; Pseudoalteromonadaceae. The record is from RNAcentral.